Molecule: long non-coding RNA, 219 nt
Filed under: Hordeum vulgare
Lineage: Eukaryota; Viridiplantae; Streptophyta; Magnoliopsida; Poales; Poaceae
Description: long non-coding RNA (HVUL_LNC016922)
Source: RNAcentral
AUGAGAUGGAGCUUUAGUUUGGAUGGUACAAACAUGUACUAAUGUACGAUCAUUCAAAAAUUCAAUGCACGAAAGUCUCUGGUGAGUGUUUAAACAACUCUUUGUAUCUUCAAACACCAGUUGUUCAGAGCGAAUCAGUCGGGAGAUUUGUUCCCUGACCAAUGACUAGCUAUGCGAUAUCAUACAUAUGGAACCUGAAAGUACACUUAAUAUUGGCAG